CCCCUAAGCCCAAAUCUAUACCCUCCGCUCACUGUCGGUACCCCACACCCGUCUUUAGUCCGCACACGGCGCGUCCAUACUCUGGGGACCCAACUACUAUCGACCCCCUGGGUGUCCCCCCUGGUCAAUUUGAUGCAUUCGCGCUAAAUUGGUAAUAUUAGUGCAUAUGGGGGAAAGAUGUGUGUUGCCCCCUGGGAAGAUCGCCCGUAACGCUUUAUCUUCCGAAAUUCUCUGCGGGCCCGCCCAAGAGAGGAGUCAUUCGUGUUAAAUUGUUGAUACCGCAGCCACCCUUUCAGGGCUUAAAAGUUAAUGACUAUUUUGUAAGGGAGUGCUUCUGCAAGGCCACGAAAAAUAAGUGCUGCAUCGCUAUCCUCACAUCGUGCCCCGAGAUGUGGGUUAAAGUCCCGACAACGAGUGCAACCCUCGCCCUCCGUUGCUCCCCGGGUCAUGCCGGGCACUCUGAGGGGACUGCCCCGGUGAACGGGGAGGAAGGUGGGGAUGACGUCAAGUCCUCAUGGCCUUUAUGUCCAGGGCUACACACGUGCUACAAUGGUCAGGACAAUGGGUCGCUCCCGCGCAAGCGGUUGCCAAUCUCAAAAACCUGGCCCUAGUUCGGAUGGUCGGCUGCAACUCGCCGGCCUGAAGCUGGAAUCGCUAGUAAUCGGAGAUCAGCACGCUCCGGUGAAUACGUUCCCGGGCCUUGUACACACCGCCCGUCACACCACGAAAGCCGUGUGUACCAGAAGUCGCUGGGCCAACCCCUUCGGGGGAGGUAGGCGCCUAAGGUAUGCGGGGUAAUUGGGGUGAAGUCGUAACAAGGUAAAUGCCA
This 829-nucleotide ribosomal RNA is filed under the name uncultured Alphaproteobacteria bacterium. RNAcentral describes it as "bacterial SSU rRNA". The stretch from base 193 to 826 matches the Rfam family "Bacterial small subunit ribosomal RNA", at positions 874 to 1520 of the family's 1533-position model. The record is from RNAcentral. Lineage: Bacteria; Pseudomonadati; Pseudomonadota; Alphaproteobacteria.